UAUUGGAAAAUGUGCCUGGGAUAAAAA
RNAcentral lists this ribosomal RNA (27 nucleotides) under Coscinasterias muricata. RNAcentral describes it as "partial 12S ribosomal RNA". The record is from RNAcentral. Lineage: Eukaryota; Metazoa; Echinodermata; Asteroidea; Forcipulatida; Asteriidae.